UAAAAGGCGCGUUGCCCGGCAACAGAAGAAACUGCUGGCUUAGCCGUUGGCCGAGUUGGCGGCUGGACGAGGACGCUCCGAGCCCAGCUCUCGAGAGUUCAAGCAACCGACGGUUCCCCACUGCUCCCAGGAGCGGUUACCUGGGCACUCUGUGCCCCUCCUUCCUGUUCGGGCCCAGGCCGAGGACCUGCCAGUAGGGCUCAGUUGCCUGGAGCCCGUUCAGCCCAUCCCCCAGUUCACUUUGCCUGUGGGAUCUCCCCGUUGCUCCUGCCCGUGGACUGAGUGGCAGGCCAUCCUACAAGCACCCGGACACUUGACAUCAGUGGUGUCAAGACAACUCUAAGAAGGUUUUCCGUGAUCCUGCAAGCCCUGCCUUCCUUCCUGGGAUCCUGCCUUCAAUUUGAUUGCACAGGUACCACAGCAAGCCAGUGCUGUGUGCUCCGAGUUCCAGGGCGUCCUCCAGCUCAGCCACUGCACUGAGAACAUGGACUCUCUGUGGGGCCCAGGAGCCGGGAGUCACCCCUUUGGGGUCCACAACACCCGGCUGUCCCCAGACUUGUGUCCAGGGAAGAUAGUGUUGAGGGCCCUCAAGGAGAGCGGGGCAGGGAUGCCUGAGCAGGACAAGGACCCUAGAGUCCAAGAGAAUCCUGGUGAUCAGAGAAGGGUCCCCGAGGUCACCGGGGAUGCACCGUCUGCAUUUCGGCCCCUGCGGGACAAUAGAGGCCUCUCUCCCUUUGUGCCCGGGCCCGGGCCUCUGCAGACAGACCUCCAUGCCCAGAGGUCAGAAAUCAGAUAUAACCAGACAUCCCAGAUCUCCUGGACGAGCUCCUGCACCAACCGAAAUGCCAUCUCCAGCUCCUACAGCUCCAUGGGAGGCUUGCCGGGGCUAAAGCGGAGGAGGGGGCCAGCCUCAUCCCACUGCCAGCUGACCCUCAGUUCCUCAAAGACAGUGAGUGAGGACAGGCCUCAGGCUGUCUCUUCAGGUCACACCCAGUGUGAAAAGGCAGCAGAUAUAGCACCAGGGCAGACACUCGCCCUCAGGAAUGACUCCUCCACAUCCGAGGCCUCUAGGCCCAGUACACACAAGUUUCCCCUGCUGCCACGCAGGCGAGGGGAGCCUUUGAUGCUGCCACCUCCCUUAGAGCUGGGGUACCGGGUCACUGUUGAAGACCUGGACCGGGAGAAGGAGGCGGCAUUCCAGCGCAUCAACAGUGCACUGCAGGUUGAGGACAAGGCCAUCUCGGACUGCAGACCCUCACGGCCUUCCCACACUUUGUCCUCACUUGCAACAGGGACUUCUGGUCUGCCUGCCAUUUCUAAAGCACCCAGUAUGGAUGUACAGCAGGAGACACACAAGUCCCAAGACUGCCUGGGCCUACUGGCCCCCUUAGCAUCUGCUGCAGGGGUCCCCUCUACAGCUCCCAUGUCUGGGAAGAAGCACAGACCACCAGGCCCCCUGUUCUCCUCCUCAGAUCCCCUUCCUGCCACCUCUUCCCAUUCCCAGGACUCAGCCCAGGUCACCUCGCUGAUUCCUGCCCCCUUCCCAGCUGCAAGCAUGGAUGCGGGCAUGAGAAGAACAAGGUGUGGCACUUCUGCUCCUGCAGCUGCCGCAGCAGCCCCUCCCCCCUCCACAUUGAACCCCACGUUGGGGUCACUACUGGAGUGGAUGGAGGCCCUUCACAUUUCUGGGCCUCAGCCACAGCUGCAGCAGGUGCCCAGAGGUCAGAACCAGAGAUCCCAGACCUCCCGGACCAGCUCGUGCCCCAAACGAAAUGCCAUCUCGAGCCCCUACCACUCUACGGGAGGCCUCCCGGAACGAAAGCGGAGAAGGGGGCCAGCCUCAUCCCACUGCCAGCUGACCCUCAGUUCCUGAAACACAUAGGACCCAGGGUGCGUGCCCAUCUCCAGCCCAGGGCAGCUCCCCUGUAAGCUGGGUGAGCUACUGAAGCCAAGGCGGGAGGCAGCUGACAACACCCACAGCCCAUGCGGAGGUGGUGGAAAGGCUGGACUCAGCAGCAACACCAAAUCCUGGACCAGGCAAAAACCACCCAAGACUGAGGGGCUCGUGCCAGAGCGGUGGCCACAGCCCCACCCCACCGGCUCAGGGGUUCUUCCCAGCGGCGCUGAUCAUGAAGUCAACAUGCACGCAAGUCGUCUCAGGAAACUUCUUAAUGAAAGUGUCGGCCACGGUGGUGUGUAGGUGGCUGAGCUCAGAUUGCAGCUGCUAAGACACCAGCCACUUACCAAGAGAAAGCCAGGCUGCUUCAAACCCAGGGCCCACGGCAAAAAAGCAUCACUUCCGGCCGGGGAGUCUGGAAGCCACGCCUUGUGGGAGGUCACACUGGCAUCUAGGCCUUCGCCUGCAUUGCAGAAGGAGAGCCGGGUCCCCCUCCUGGAGAAUGCUGUGUUCCCCAGCCCCACACCGGCUUUGCCACCACACAGGCUGUUGAGGCAGGAGGCGGGUAAGACGUAGCUGUAGACCCAAAGCAACCACCAGCCCUGGGACC
Long non-coding RNA from Homo sapiens (human), 2507 nucleotides. RefSeq annotates it as putative POM121-like protein 1. The record is from RefSeq and is a predicted model, not a curated record. The transcript is spliced from 3 exons. Lineage: Eukaryota; Metazoa; Chordata; Mammalia; Primates; Hominidae.